UGUAGGGAUGGGUAGUAGAAUACGUUUCCCUACCGCAGCCAGAAGCGUGACGUAAGAGGCGUCUAACUGUGCAAACCAGUUCCUAAGUUCAGAAAAGGGACUAUUCUAGUUUAGAAGUCCUUUUCCAUUUCUCUCUUAACUUUUGUUGUAAUUUAGCUUAUCUCGCCGCAUGAUAACUCUAAAAAUUCCUAAUUUAUUCGUUCAAGUAAAAUGUAGUUAUUAAAAUUAUAAAAUUAGAUGGCCGAUCGGUUUAGUAUAAAUUUAGCAUAAGUAUAUUUCCCGGAUUUGACUUUUACCUCCCCUCAUUGGAUCCCUGAGGAAGGACUCGGACUUUACUCUCACCACUUCCUCAGCGAAGUUGGUCAUUUAAAAGGCUACACUAUUUAGUGCUAGUUCAUUUCCUUCCAUUGUGUAAGGAAAGCUGGUGGUGGUGUGCCAGUCACAAUUGGUUUAUUUGAGUUGUCUCAGUACACUCAUCACAUUUUAUUUCAUUUCCUUCCAUUGUGUAAGGAAAGCUGGUGGUGGUGUGCCAGUCACAAUUGGUUUAUUUGAGUUGUCUCAGUACACUCAUUACAUUUUAUUUCAUUUCCUUCCAUUGUGUAAGGAAAGCUGGUGGUGGUGUGCCAGUCACAAUUGGUUUAUUUGAGUUGUCUCAGUACACUCAUCACAUUUUAUUUCAUUUCCUUCCAUUGUGUAAGGAAAGCUGGUGGUGGUGUGCCAGUCACAAUUGGUUUAUUUGAGUUGUCUCAGUACACUCAUUACAUUUUAUUUCAUUUCCUUCCAUUGUGUAAGGAAAGCUGGUGGUGGUGUGCCAGUCACAAUUGGUUUAUUUGAGUUGUCACAGUACACUCAUUCCAUUUCCUUUCUUUUUCGAUAGUCAGUGGUGACAGUACCUAACUGCACUCUAAAUUCCCUUUUAUUUCCAAAUUAGUCAGCGGCGAUGGUGCCUAGCUGCACUACCCCCUUUGUUAGUUAAUAACAAAUUCUUCUUUAACUGUAGGUUAAUUUGGCAUGUAAAGUGAAACUAGUCAGCGGCGUGGGUGCCUAACUGUACUAAUUAUCUCCUCGUUUUGUAUUACCUUAAGUCUCUAAUUAAAUUAAAAUAGUUCAGCACGUCAGCUUAGCAUAAGACAGUGGCAGAGGUGCCUAACUGUAUUAUAAUUCCCUUAACUUAGUAUACUAUAAAUUUUGUUUCUUCAUAAAUAAUAAAAUUUAGUGGUAACCUCGUUUUCGCAUGUUAGUAAUUCCAGACAGUGGCUUUGGGGCUCAACUGUCUCUAAUUGUUAGUUAACUUAAUGCAUUGCAUCUGCACGAGUAGAGUAUAAUUGAUUGGUUAGUUUUCAUUUUACAUCCCUUAAAUUUAAGUUUGUUUAAUUUCAAUUCUCCUAAAAUCAAUGUAGAAGCGGAAUUGAACUGUUGAUAGGUGGUGCUGAGGCCCGUCGUUUCUCACUCUUUCCCUCUUGUACCGUAGAACCAUUAAUAAUAGCAAGUUUUAAAGUUAGUCACAGGAUUUUCAACUUUAGUUUUUCUAUGUCCUAUAAUUACAAUAAUUACUCUUAUAAGUUUACUCUAGUAUUCCGCCCAAAGUAUUCCUUGAUAAACUCUAAGCUCUGCAGUUCAGUUCUAGUCUAGCGGUUAUUUUUGAGUUAGCUUUUGUUUUCUUCCAUAAAAAAUAGUUCCUAUUUUUUAUUUUUCACAGAAAGGGGGUAAUGUAACGUGUCAAUAAGUCACGUCACAUACUAAACACAUAUUUAAUAAAGUUCUCCAUGAGUUAGCCUACAUUUGUUUAGAUUUAUUUCCAAAUUAGAAAAUAUUCCCAAUUCCUGUUUUAUUUACAACCAUUCGCUUGUCACUUUGACGUUUGACAGCGAACUAUUUGAGUUUCGUUGUCUUUGACAGAUUCGGUAACUUUCAUUCCAAUGCCUUUAAAAUUGUCUCAAACGUUUUCAUAUUUGAUAAAUUCUUCUUUUCGUUUAAAUUUCGCAAGUGGUAGUUUUGUUUUAGGAAAAAUAGAUCCGACAAUAUUUGAUAAUAUAUUUAAUAAUAUAUUCGUCAAAAAUUGUUCAAAAUUUAUUACAAUUUUAGCAUUUUGGUUAGCAAAAAUCAUUCUUAUUUCGGAUCUGGUAACAUUUCUUCUUAUCGAUGGUUCGAUGUGAAUUCCGUCUUGUCAUUUUACUGUCAGCUUUCUCAUUGGAAAACAGAUAAAAUUUUGAUCCGAGAAAAUCAUUGUAAAUUUCCAUUAUUUUGGUGAAAUACCGGCAGUGCUUUGUUCCGGAGGUUUGCUCCGUCCCUCAGGAAUGGAUUAGGGGCGAAAAUAAUGCCGCCACGGCAAACCCCGGCAACCUAAUGAAGGGCUAACGUAAGUUUUUCCUCAAUUUCCACAAUCGUCUUUCGGAAAAUGCGAUUCCUUUUAAAUUUUCCGGUUCGACUUUAGCUGACUCGCGCCAUUUUUCUUUUCCAGAUAAGGGGCGUGUUAGCCCUUAUAACCCUUAUAAUCCUUUUAA
This is a long non-coding RNA of Cydia amplana, 2504 nucleotides long. RefSeq lists it as uncharacterized. NCBI's taxonomy places the organism in Eukaryota, Metazoa, Arthropoda, Insecta, Lepidoptera, Tortricidae. The record is from RefSeq and is a predicted model, not a curated record. The transcript is spliced from 2 exons.